Molecule: small nucleolar RNA, 124 nt
Organism: Mesocricetus auratus (golden hamster)
Lineage: Eukaryota; Metazoa; Chordata; Mammalia; Rodentia; Cricetidae
Source: Ensembl
AGCACUUCUGUGUGUUUGUUCAGCUGGUGGAGAAAGGCAUAGAAAAGGGUGCAAAAGCAAACACGCCUUUGCAGCCAGAACUCAUUGUCCAGCAUGAGUUUUGAUGCACACAAGAAAGGAUAUG